GGCUCCAUAGUGUAGCGGUUAGCACAUCUGCUUUACACGCAGAAGGUCCUGGGUUCGCGCCCCAGUGGAGCCA
Molecule: transfer RNA, 73 nt
Filed under: Pteropus alecto (black flying fox)
Lineage: Eukaryota; Metazoa; Chordata; Mammalia; Chiroptera; Pteropodidae
Rfam family: tRNA
About the family: Transfer RNA (tRNA) molecules are approximately 80 nucleotides in length. Their secondary structure includes four short double-helical elements and three loops (D, anti-codon, and T loops). Further hydrogen bonds mediate the characteristic L-shaped molecular structure. tRNAs have two regions of fundamental functional importance: the anti-codon, which is responsible for specific mRNA codon recognition, and the 3' end, to which the tRNAs corresponding amino acid is attached (by aminoacyl-tRNA synthetases). tRNAs cope with the degeneracy of the genetic code in two manners: having more than one tRNA (with a specific anti-codon) for a particular amino acid; and 'wobble' base-pairing, i.e. permitting non-standard base-pairing at the 3rd anti-codon position.
Source: Rfam by way of RNAcentral